AUGUGGUGAUCUGUAGUACUCUCUCCGUCCCUAGAUAUAAGGGAUUUUGGUUGGAAGUGACACAUUUUAAUUUAACAAGUCUGGACAGAACUGUCCAGAUUCGUUGGAUUAGAAGUCCAUAUUCGUUGAAUUAGAAUGUGUCACUUCCAACCAAAAUCCCUUAUAUUUAAGGACGGAGGGAGUACUAAUGUGAGCUAAAA
Molecule: unclassified non-coding RNA, 200 nt
Filed under: Oryza sativa (Asian cultivated rice)
Lineage: Eukaryota; Viridiplantae; Streptophyta; Magnoliopsida; Poales; Poaceae
Description: partial microRNA MIR486h precursor
Source: RNAcentral